AUGGGGAUGCAGGCUCUGAUGGAUGAUCGCUGCAAGAACCUAGUGAACCCUGUAUGUGACUGGCUCGGUGAGAUUUAUGAUCCUGCCUCCAGAGAAUUUUUGAUUCCGCGACAGGGAAGACUGCCUUUGGAUGAGGAUUCGGUGUUCUGCACUUUGGUUGUGCCCCGUGGAGAAAUCAAAGUCAUGUAUGAGGUGAAUAAUAAGAUUGAGGCAGCCUUGUUCCCCCGUUUGUUUCCUGGGAUGUCAACCAUGCCGAAUACGACUGCGCUGGCAACUUCGCUAGAGGGCAUGACAACCCAUGGCGAGGUAUUUAAGAUGAAGCUACUCAUGUACUUGAUCUCAGCUGUCUUUGCGCCUACCACGUCUCUUCGCCCAAGCAACAAGUGCUUCCCCAUUCUGGUGCGAACCUGA
RNAcentral lists this ribosomal RNA (411 nucleotides) under Triticum aestivum (bread wheat). RNAcentral describes it as "partial small subunit ribosomal RNA". Lineage: Eukaryota; Viridiplantae; Streptophyta; Magnoliopsida; Poales; Poaceae. The record is from RNAcentral.